This 332-nucleotide unclassified non-coding RNA is filed under the name soil metagenome. RNAcentral describes it as "partial contains 5.8S ribosomal RNA, internal transcribed spacer 2, and large subunit ribosomal RNA". The stretch from base 1 to 120 matches the Rfam family "5.8S ribosomal RNA", at positions 35 to 154 of the family's 154-position model. The record is from RNAcentral.
GAUGAAGAACGUAGCAAAAUGCGAUAAGUAAUGUGAAUUGCAGAAUUCAGUGAAUCACCGAAUCUUUGAACGCACAUUGCGCCCGCCAGUAUUCUGGCGGGCAUGCCUGUUCGAGCGUCAUUUCAACCCUCAAGCACAGCUUGGUGUUGGGACUCGCGUUAAUUCGCGUUCCUCAAAUUGAUUGGCGGUCACGUCGAGCUUCCAUAGCGUAGUAGUAAAACCCUCGUUACUGGUAAUCGUCGCGGCCACGCCGUUAAACCCCAACUUCUGAAUGUUGACCUCGGAUCAGGUAGGAAUACCCGCUGAACUUAAGCAUAUCAAUAAGCGGAGGA